This 284-nucleotide long non-coding RNA is filed under the name Lathyrus oleraceus (garden pea). RNAcentral's name for it is "Pisum sativum (pea) long non-coding RNA (PSAT_LNC005096)". The record is from RNAcentral. Lineage: Eukaryota; Viridiplantae; Streptophyta; Magnoliopsida; Fabales; Fabaceae.
GAGUAUCAAGUUAGCUAAUACACUAAUCACACACAGAAGAUAAACUUCACACAGCAGCAGCACAUAGAAGAUAGCAAACAGCAGCAUAACCUCUUGUUUUAGAGGACCUUCAUCUUCACAGAAAUCUGAAAUCUGUUGUCCUGGGGUACAUUUGUUACUCCCCCUUUUUGUCAAAAAUGUUGCCAAAGCAACACUUAAUAUUACAGACCAACAAAAAUAAAAUUACAAGCAAAUUUCAAGAAUACACACUCUUAAUCUUGCUUUACAACUUUGAUCAAGACUAC